RNAcentral lists this long non-coding RNA (509 nucleotides) under Ananas comosus (pineapple). RNAcentral describes it as "long non-coding RNA (ACOM_LNC012232)". The record is from RNAcentral. Lineage: Eukaryota; Viridiplantae; Streptophyta; Magnoliopsida; Poales; Bromeliaceae.
UGUAUUUAAUUUUAAAAUAUUAUGAAUAAAUUUGAUUUAUUAUUUUCAUUCAUAUUGUAUGCUACCAAGUUGUUUUCGAUGAUGCGGCUUCCAAAUCGACGAUCGGCUUCGUUAGGCUUGAUCUACACUAUUAAAAGUAUUUGGAAACUAAAUUUUAUAAUUUUUCGAUAUCAUUUACCUAUCAAACGAGUAGUCUAAAAAUGAAUGGCUGAAAAUAAAAAUCUUAUAAAAAAUGAUGAUAAAAGACUUAGAUUUAAGAUCAGAGGUACUGAUCUUACUCUAAAUAGUGAAAAGAAUUUUCUAUAAAAAUUUCAUCAAAUUUGGAUUGUUUUACACCGUUAAAUUCACAAACGCAUCACAUCUACCAUUAAAAUUGUCAAUUUUGAGACCUUUUGAUCACUGACCAAAUGAUGUCGAAAAAUUAUAAAAUUUAGUUUCCAAAUAUUUUUAAUAGUAUAGAUUAAGUCUAACGGAGCCAAUCGUCAAUUUGGAAGCCGCAUCAUCAAAAA